GUGAAUCAUCGAAUUUUUGAACGCAAAUUGCACUCUCUUCGGAGAGUAUGCCUGUUUGAGGGUGAGUAUUAAUAAAAAUUGGUGUGUUGCUUCUUUGCGACGCUCCGGAGUUUGGGUCAUCUUAAUAUUCUUUAGGUUUUAAGAGGUUUAAAAUUGACUUUUUUUGAGGAUUUUAGAUGUUCAUAAAUUAUUUUUUUUAUUCGUCUGUUUUCAUGCUUAAAAUCCUAUUAGAUGUGAAUAUUUAGUGUGGUUUAGUG
This 257-nucleotide unclassified non-coding RNA is filed under the name Glomeraceae sp. RNAcentral's name for it is "partial contains 5.8S ribosomal RNA and internal transcribed spacer 2". The stretch from base 1 to 65 matches the Rfam family "5.8S ribosomal RNA", at positions 84 to 154 of the family's 154-position model. Lineage: Eukaryota; Fungi; Glomeromycota; Glomeromycetes; Glomerales; Glomeraceae. The record is from RNAcentral.